GCCCAGGUAGCUCAGUCGGUAGAGCAGUGGAUUGAAAAUCCACGUGUCGGCAGUUCGAUUCUGUCCCUGGGCACCA
This 76-nucleotide transfer RNA is filed under the name Rhizomicrobium sp. SCGC AG-212-E05. RNAcentral describes it as "tRNA-Phe". It matches the Rfam family "tRNA". From Rfam's summary of the family: Transfer RNA (tRNA) molecules are approximately 80 nucleotides in length. Their secondary structure includes four short double-helical elements and three loops (D, anti-codon, and T loops). The record is from RNAcentral. Lineage: Bacteria; Pseudomonadati; Pseudomonadota; Alphaproteobacteria; Micropepsales; Micropepsaceae. RNAcentral also lists the same sequence under 4 other names.